Molecule: ribozyme, 120 nt
Filed under: unclassified sequences
Description: Hairpin ribozyme 1 from viruses-like metatranscriptomes
Rfam family: Hairpin ribozyme 1 from viruses-like metatranscriptomes
Source: Rfam by way of RNAcentral
UGUCUGUCCCGAACUACAUCAGGGUAUGCAACAGGACCUUCCUUCACGGAAGGUCCUGUUGACUGUUCGGGGAAGACAACCAGGGAAACACACCGGCAAGCCGGUGGCACAUUAACUGGU